Molecule: long non-coding RNA, 750 nt
Organism: Cercocebus atys (sooty mangabey)
Lineage: Eukaryota; Metazoa; Chordata; Mammalia; Primates; Cercopithecidae
Exons: 3
Source: RefSeq, a predicted model, not a curated record
GGGGAGUCGCUCUGCUUUGGACUGGAGCAAAACGGGUCGGGGGCUGGGGGAGGAAAGGAAGAUGAAGUCCAGGGGAGGGGCCCACAAACCCCGGCAGCCCAGGCUUUUCCCCUCAAAAGCGAGAGAGGAAAAUGCAUUACCUGAAACCACCAAGCACUCUAAGAAAGAAGUAAUACGAACUGCCCGGAGUUCUUAUUAAACAGCUGUGAAAAGUGGAUCCAGUCCCCGAGUUUUAGGGCACGUAAAGGCCUACUGGAGAAAAUACUGAAGUGUAGGAACCGAUCUUUCCAUUUAUGGCGUGUUCUUCAGUUUCUUUGGUUAGGGGCUCCAAUGGAAGCUGAGGCCCCGUGUUUCCUGAUGCCCCAGGGGCCACAGCAAGUUGCAUGGAAGCCACGUGAGGUGAACUCCAACCUGUUGACCAGAGGGGUAGCAAAUGAGUGACCAUACAGGAUCUGGAAGAAUCUGUGGCCACUUUGGGGGUCAUUUGUACCCUCUCCAGAGGGUAAGAUCAGAAAACAGUUUAGCAACCACUGAGCCCAGCACUGCUUGGAUUGUGUUAAAUGAGUGGAAGAGUCUUAAUUUCCUAGACUUGCAGGAUGGGGCACUGGCUAGUCCCGUUGUGUGUUUGCUCCGGCUGCCCCCAACAAAGUUCCAUGGCCUGGGAGGCCUGUAGGGGCUCCCAGAAGUUAAUUUUCUCACAAUUCUGGAGACUGGAAGUUUUAGAUCAAGAGGUGGGCAGGGUUGGUUUCU